This 510-nucleotide ribosomal RNA is filed under the name uncultured bacterium. RNAcentral describes it as "partial 16S ribosomal RNA". It matches the Rfam family "Bacterial small subunit ribosomal RNA", at positions 28 to 507 of the family's 1533-position model. The record is from RNAcentral.
GACGAACGCUGGCGGCGUGCUUAACACAUGCAAGUCGAACGAAGAGCGAUGGAAGCUUGCUUCUAUCAAUCUUAGUGGCGAACGGGUGAGUAACGCGUAAUCAACCUGCCCUUCAGAGGGGGACAACAGUUGGAAACGACUGCUAAUACCGCAUACGAUCUAAUCUCGGCAUCGAGGAUAGAUGAAAGGUGGCCUCUACAUGUAAGCUAUCACUGAAGGAGGGGAUUGCGUCUGAUUAGCUAGUUGGAGGGGUAACGGCCCACCAAGGCGAUGAUCAGUAGCCGGUCUGAGGGGAUGAACGGCCACAUUGGGACUGAGACACGGCCCAGACCCCUACGGGAGGCAGCAGUGGGGAAUCUUCCGCAAUGGACGAAAGUCUGACGGAGCAACGCCGCGUGAGUGAUGACGGCCUUCGGGUUGUAAAGCUCUGUUAAUCGGGACGAAAGGCCUUCUUGCGAAUAGUGAGAAGGAUUGACGGUACCGGAAUAGAAAGCCACGGCUAACUACGUG